UGCAAUCUCUAUGGUAACCACAUUUCCCAGUUGACUACUACCGGUAAUAAAAUCAAAUGGAUUCAGUGCUCACAACUCUUCAGUCUUUGGGCUACUUUCCAUUCUUGAAUUUUUAGCUGAAUUCAUCUCUUUGGCUGGAUUUUGUGAAUCGGGCAGCCAUUAGAACCAAAACAGUUCUGAGGAGCUCCCAGGCUGCAAUGUGGUGCGAAAUGUUUUAUGGACAGAAAAUGGAAAUGAGGUGCAGAAAUUGGAGCCUUUCACCAGUGUAACCAUCCCAAAUUUGCAUCUUGUCUGAUGCUAACUGAGGAAGAAGGGCACCUGGAGUUUGACCAGCAGGAACAAAACAUGUUAAAAUUGUUGCAGAAGAUGAUGAGGACUUCACAAGUGUGGCAUCUCAUGUAUUCUAAAGUAUAUGGUGACCAUCUAAGGAAGUUGGUUUGAAUGUGCAGGUCUAGCAAAGAACAUGCCCUGGAUAUAAAACCUAGGAAUCACCAUCUGAUCGAAGAUGGAGAUGAAUGACUUCACCCUAGGGCAAGAAGGACUUAAGAAGAAUAGGAAGGAUGGCAGGAAUGGAGGAAAACAUUUUGGAUGGAAAGAUGAGACACUGAAACAAUUUGAAGAUUGGAAGGUGAGAGUCUGAGGUCCAAAGCUUUACACCAGUUGUUGAAGAACCUUGAUCACAGGCCAGCCAGGACCUCAAAGGCUCAAGAGAAAUGAUGACAAGGUUUGCUUGGCUUAUUUA
Long non-coding RNA from Homo sapiens (human), 742 nucleotides. Ensembl annotates it as NRG1 intronic transcript 1. Its record names the gene NRG1-IT1. The record is from Ensembl. Lineage: Eukaryota; Metazoa; Chordata; Mammalia; Primates; Hominidae.